ACAGACAAUCAGGCAUUUACAAAUUUGUUCACCCCAAAGAUUGGAUCUUUUAGUAUUGUGUUUCAGUGAUUGGCACAUACACAUACAAACAUGACAGCAACUAAUACUCAUGGAUGGUUGGCUGUUGCAAAUGACAAUCCGGAAAGAGAGAGCAGGCUCCACUUCUAAUUUCUGCAGGGAAUUUCAAACAUAGAGCAAAUAGAUUAAUUUCAUACAAACUGGAUUAAAAGGUCAAGAUGACCUCUAUGAUUUAAGAGUAAAACCACAUAUAUCAAGUCACUUGUCCGAAGGUAUCUAAAGUUAUCAAAGCCUAGCUAGAUAAAACAUGUUGAAAACUUGAACCUAUGCUAUCACCGAAACAAAAUUUCAAGGAGUUCAAAUCAGGAAAAAGCAAGCAUAGUUGAGCGAUCAGUCUUUCUAUUCGGCCAGGCUAUCAUAAUUCGAGCUUCUGCCAAUAUAUGGAUGUUAAUGGAGAAGCACAAGUCAGAUAUGAAGUGCUUCCAUGUAAUGAAGGAAAGAACUUUGUUUUUAAGAAGAUGCCACCAAAAGUAACUGAUAAUUCUUUCGCACCAGACCAUGUAAGAGUUGCCCUUGCAAACCUGUACUAAUUGUGAAUGUGGAAAAACGUUCUAAAAUAUCAAAGAGAAGGCACAUCAAUAACCUCUCCUUUAUCUUCUACAAGAAAAUGCCAGCUGGAAAGAGCUUAUGUCAUGCAUGCAGCAAGCUAGAUUCUUUUAGCUUCAUGGUUUUUGCACGCAGCCUUACCAUGAAUGCAGGAUUUGCUUUGAGUCUCUGCUUCACAUAUGAAGUUCG
Molecule: long non-coding RNA, 813 nt
Filed under: Nicotiana tabacum (common tobacco)
Lineage: Eukaryota; Viridiplantae; Streptophyta; Magnoliopsida; Solanales; Solanaceae
Description: long non-coding RNA (NTAB_LNC018255)
Source: RNAcentral